UACAUGUGGGGCAAGCGUUGUUCGGAAUUACUGGGCAUAAAGGGUGCGUAGGCGGUUUGUUAAGUCACUGGUGAAAGUUUUCGGCCCAACCGGAAAAUUGCCUGUGAUACUGGCGAACUUGAGUGCGUGAGGGGUGGGGGGAACGAGCAGUGUAGCGGUGUAAUGCGUAGAUAUUGCUCGGAAGGCCGGAGCCGAAGGGGCCCCACUGGUACGUAACUGACGCUGAGGCACGAAAGCGUGGGGAGCAAACAGG
Molecule: ribosomal RNA, 253 nt
Filed under: uncultured bacterium
Lineage: Bacteria
Description: partial 16S ribosomal RNA
Rfam family: Bacterial small subunit ribosomal RNA
Source: RNAcentral